UUAAAGAUAAGUCUAUUAAAGAUAUUGUUUAGCAGGCUUCUCAAAGUAUCAACUAUACCUGCUCAACUUCUAAAAAGUAAUCUUGUCCCACAGCCCUCCAGAUCAAAUCUGUAUCUAAUCAAGACCCCAUCUUUCAGUUUACAGUAAAUACAGGGGACAUGUUAAUUGACACUAUGGAGACACAGAACCCAGACCAUGGAAAACUGACUCAUUUUCUUCAACAACAACAAAUUACAAGGCAAAAGGGAGACUGAGCUCAGUGAAGAUUACAUCUAUCCAAAUGAGUAACAGAUCAAAGAUGAGAACAACAACAGUAAGUGAAAUUUACAUUUACCAGCUAAGAUAAAUGUUUGGGCAAAAGAAGCCUUUAGAAAGCCUUAGCCAAAUAGGUGUCAUUUUCCUAGAAGUAAUGUGUCUAUUCAACAGUUUUUAUGACAUAAAAGCCAUACUUACAGUCCCAUAAGAAUCUUGAUAAACUAACUGGCUAAAGGUCUCUAAACCUAAGAAAAGUAAAAUGUAUUGCAUUAAUUUACAAAACAGCAAACUGAGACAAUAACAGUGGUAUUUAUCCAAACACAGACUCAUAACCAGAUAAGGCAAAUGAAACAUGUCAGUCCCACACUCUAACAUAUUUUCUAAAAUCAAAGCUGGAUCUUUUAAAAAAUCUCUGUCUCUCUAUUCAUCUAAUAACUGUGCUAUAAUUCAUUGUAUCCAUUCCAUGGGUUUUAUUUGAAUGUUAAACACACACAAAAAAAGAA
Molecule: non-coding RNA, 758 nt
Organism: Oryctolagus cuniculus (rabbit)
Lineage: Eukaryota; Metazoa; Chordata; Mammalia; Lagomorpha; Leporidae
Source: RefSeq, a predicted model, not a curated record